UACGAAGGGGGCUAGCGUUGCUCGGAAUUACUGGGCGUAAAGCGCACGUAGGCGGCUUGUUAAGUCGGGGGUGAAAUCCUGGAGCUCAACUCCAGAACUGCCUUCGAUACUGGCGAGCUCGAGUUCGGGAGAGGUGAGUGGAACUGCGAGUGUAGAGGUGAAAUUCGUAGAUAUUCGCAAGAACACCAGUGGCGAAGGCGGCUCACUGGCCCGAGUACUGACGCUGAGGUGCGAAAGCGUGGGGAGCAAACAGG
RNAcentral lists this ribosomal RNA (254 nucleotides) under uncultured bacterium. Its description in RNAcentral is "partial 16S ribosomal RNA". It matches the Rfam family "Bacterial small subunit ribosomal RNA", at positions 524 to 776 of the family's 1533-position model. The record is from RNAcentral.